CCUACGGGGGGCAGCAGUGAGGAAUAUUGGUCAAUGGACGAGAGUCUGAACCAGCCAAGUAGCGUGAAGGAUGACUGCCCUAUGGGUUGUAAACUUCUUUUAUAUGGGAAUAAAACGUUCCACGUGUGGGAUUUUGUAUGUACCAUAUGAAUAAGGAUCGGCUAACUCCGUGCCAGCAGCCGCGGUAAUACGGAGGAUCCGAGCGUUAUCCGGAUUUAUUGGGUUUAAAGGGAGCGUAGGUGGAUUUUUAAGUCAGGUGUGAAAGUUUGCGGCUCAACCGGAAAAUUGCAGUUGAAACUGGCAGUCUUGAGUACAGUAGAGGUGGGCGGAAUGCGUGGUGUAGCGGUGAAAUGCUUAGAUAUCACGAAGAACUCCGAUUGUGAAGGCAGUUCACUGGACUGCAACUGACACUGAGGCUCGAAAGUGUGGGUAUCAAACAGGAUUAGAUACCCCAGUAGUC
This 460-nucleotide ribosomal RNA is filed under the name uncultured bacterium. Its description in RNAcentral is "partial 16S ribosomal RNA". It matches the Rfam family "Bacterial small subunit ribosomal RNA", at positions 338 to 795 of the family's 1533-position model. The record is from RNAcentral.